This is a long non-coding RNA of Bos taurus (domestic cattle), 3269 nucleotides long. The record is from Ensembl. NCBI's taxonomy places the organism in Eukaryota, Metazoa, Chordata, Mammalia, Artiodactyla, Bovidae.
AUCAACAGCUCUUUUAAAAAGUUGUUAUAACCUAUAGGAAUCAUAAUAGCUGAAACUUAUUAUAAGUGACUUCAACUAAAUGGCUGAAGAAGUAAGCUAUCUUAAAUUGUCCUUUUUAUUUAAAAAUAAAGUUCAAACAGCAACAAAUAUAGUGUGCUUAAAAUGGAAACAUCCACAGUAUCAUUGUUUCAGUUGAAUCAGAAUUCCAUCAAAAACAGCAGAAAUCACUUGUAAUCAUUUGAAUCAAUUUGUACUCUUGAAACAUUUGAAUUCACUUACUGAGCUUCCCUCAUAGCUCAGUUGGUUAAAAAAAAUCUGUCUACAAUGCAGGAGACCCAGGUUCAAUCCCUGUGUCAGGAAGGUGCCCUGGAGAAGGAUAUGGCAACACAUUCCAGUAUUCUUGCCUGGGAAAUCCCAUGGACAGAGGAGCCUGGCAGGCUACAGUCCAUGCAGUCACAAGUCAGACAUGACUUAGCGACUAAACCACCACCACCAUCUAGCUCAUGGAGAUCUUGAAAGGCUUAUCGAAUGGGUACGUAGAGCAUCCCAAGCUGUCAGCUCCUCACAGCCUCUCUCGGACCACUGGCGAUGGUAGGUGAUGACUGGCGUGUGUACAGUACUUUUCAGGGCACACAGCACCACAGCCACCAGUAGGAGGAUCUGCUCACGUGGCCUUAUUACUAUCACCCUUAAUUUGGCUGUCUGACCCUAUUUUAUUUUUUAAAAUUUAUUUUUAAAUUGCUGACCCUUUUUUCUGAGAAGAAAUGCAAGAGUAGAACCCUAAACAUUCACUGGAGACAAAACUAUACAGUGAGAGAGUUCACGUCAAUCUUGCUUUCAACGAACCACAUGGUUGCCAGUUUUCUGGAAGAGCAGCACCACAAAGGAGACUUAAAAGCGCCUCUGCCUGAGGGAAGUCUCAUUCCAGGCAUCACUUGUGAAUCCCUGCCCUUCCACCAGGUGGCAGCGGUUGUCGGGAGGUUGUUAAAGCUAUGCAAGCGAUCAGACAUGGGCUGGGAGCACCCCUUUGGGUAUGAUCUGGUGAGGAGGCAUACAUCUUUCCUCUACUGUAAACAGUGUUUAUGGACAUGGAAGGAAUGCAAGUGCCCCCAAAGAAAGCCUGUUCUAAAUCUGAUUAGGCUAUUGGAACAACGAUUCGCUUACACGAGAGUUUAUACUUGGAGUUCUUCUAAUCUUAUCCUUUCAGUCAACCUUUCAACAAAUAUUGAGCCUUCUAAGAGCCUUACUGUUCUGAGGGCCAUGGCAAUAAAGAAAGCAGUCAAAACCCCUUGGGGGCAAUGGAGCUUCUAUUCCUGUCUACUAAGACAGUGGAGGCCAUCUCCUGUUAAUUUCUUCAAUCUAAUGGAUGGAUGACUUCCUCCUUUCCAAAGCUCUUGGGCCCUCAACCUGAACGAGUGCUGUGCUCCGGCACACCUGACUCUUUGCGACCCUAUGGACUGCAGCCUGCCAGGCUCCCCUGUCCAUUGGGUUCUCCAGGCAAGAAUACUGGAAGGGGUUGCCAUGCCCUGCUCCAAGGGAUGUUUCUGACUCAGGGAUCAAACCCGCGUCUCCUGCAUUGGCAGGUGGAUUCUUCCCCACUGAGCCACCUGGGAAGCCGCUCAACCUGACUCCUAUUCUUCUAAUAACCGUCACUUGCAGGUUCACUGGCUCCUCACAUCUUGAUGACAAAUGUACUAAUACUUGUGGUAAAAGAAAAAAAUAAGAUGACUAAACCCUUCCAUUGAUUCCCUUGCCUUCCUUAGGCUGCUGAGAUCUCUCAUUUUAUGAUCAAAUCUCUUUAGAAGUCUCAUUUCUAAAUGAAGGAAGCUCAUUUGCUUCAACUUCCUCAUCAUGCACUUACCUUCUAAAUCCUGCCUUCCCCAUACGCAUGAUGGCUAAAUUCUGUAUAAUUCAGAUCAGAACUUGAAGGAAAGAGAAAACCACCAGGAAAGCAGGAUGGUGAGCAAAAUGGUUCUGAUCAAGGAAGCCAAGUGUUGUAGGUAAAAAAUUAAUUACCUGUUAAUUAUCUGAGAGCUUCCUGUGUGCACACAGCAUUGUGCCAGGCAUUUCAGGUUUCUAAAGAAAUGUCAAAAGUGACCUCUGAUAAAAGCCUACCAAGAAAGGUCAUCUGGAGGCUGCAUAACGGUAACUAAGCCAAGAGGGGAAGCAGGAGGGCAAUGACACAAAACUGGUAACAACAGAAGGGCAUGAACCAUCUGGAUGUACUUCAUUGGUGGUGGUGGGAAGCAAUCUUGGACGGCAUCAUGGAGAAGAAAGACUGGAAAAAUCCACGUAGUAGGAAGAGAACAGAGGAAAAGGGAACAUCAUGAAUUCAGAAUGAACCUAAUGAAUUUUGCGAACAGGGAAACAAUGAUGUUUUAGAAUUGUUUCAGUCAUGAGCAGCAGUCACUCAAUUUGAACGACCAAAGAAAACAAGGACAUUACCAACUUGAGUUGCUGAAAAGGCCUUGGCAGCAGGACAAAAGAUGUUGUUUUACAUUUCUCAGCUUUAUUUUUCUUCACUCAAGCAGUGGAAAGACAGAAGCUCUAGAUAUUAUCGUACCAGCUCAGCAAACUAAAGAAGGGGAGCACUUCUUUCCCCAAAGACCCAGGGCCAACUCUAAUUGGCUCAGCGUAUAUCACAUCCUCCUAGCUGAACCAAUCACUGUGGCUGGGCCAUGUGGUGCUUUCAUUGGCCUGGCCUGAAUCAGGUUCCUUCAUCUGUUUAGUGCUAGCCUAUGUCCCAACUUUCCACUUGUGUACUUUGCCCAGAUUUUACUCUAUAUCUUCGAAUCAGCUGGCCCCUAUGUGUGAAACACUUCUCCUAAAAAUUCUCAUUAGCUUGUCAACAUUUUCAUUACUUUGCAUCUUAUCACCGCCAAUGUUUCCCGCUGAAAAAGACUGAGGUUACAAUUCUUCAACUAAUGCCCUUUCCGAUUUAAGGCCUGUGAAUACCAACCUCGUACUAGUGUAAAAAUAUAUUUAAUUAUUCAUGAGUCUGACAAGAUCUGCUGUGUUCAGUUGAUUUGUUGUUUGUAAUUCACUGAGUUUCAAUCUGAAUGUUUGUCUAUAUUGAACACUUAGGUUUUAGCCUAUAGGCUGUUCAUGCAAAGGAUGCCUUGCUGACAUAGCACUCAGCAAUCCAACGAUGUUCAAUUUUCAUUGUGUCAAUGGCAUUUUCAAUCCUGUGGACUUUGCCAUCCAUUAUGCUAUAAUAAUGGCAGAAAUUCUGAACUCUAUUAUGGCAUAAAAUUUCUAUAUUAUUUAAG